UGGGGAAUAUUGCACAAUGGGCGAAAGCCUGAUGCAGCGACGCCGCGUGAGGGAUGACGGCCUUCGGGUUGUAAACCUCUUUCAGCAGGGAAGAAGCGAAAGUGACGGUACCUGCAGAAGAAGCGCCGGCUAACUACGUGCCAGCAGCCGCGGUAAUACGUAGGGCGCAAGCGUUGUCCGGAAUUAUUGGGCGUAAAGAGCUCGUAGGCGGUUAGUCGCGUCUGCUGUGAAAACUCGAGGCUCAACCUCGGGCUUGCAGUGGGUACGGGCUGACUAGAGUGCGGUAGGGGUGACUGGAAUUCCUGGUGUAGCGGUGGAAUGCGCAGAUAUCAGGAGGAACACCGAUGGCGAAGGCAGGUCACUGGGCCGCAACUGACGCUGAGGAGCGAAAGCAUGGGGAGCGAACAGGAUUAGAUAGCCCUGGUAGUCCAUGCCGUAAACGUUGGGCACUAGGUGUGGGUCCAUUCCACGGAUUCCGUGCCGCAGCAAAGCGCAUUAAGUGCCCCGCCUGGGGAGUACGGCCGCAAGGCUAAAACUUAAAGGAAUUG
Molecule: ribosomal RNA, 548 nt
Filed under: uncultured bacterium
Lineage: Bacteria
Description: partial 16S ribosomal RNA
Rfam family: Bacterial small subunit ribosomal RNA
Source: RNAcentral